RNAcentral lists this transfer RNA (73 nucleotides) under Rattus norvegicus (Norway rat). It matches the Rfam family "tRNA". From Rfam's summary of the family: Transfer RNA (tRNA) molecules are approximately 80 nucleotides in length. Their secondary structure includes four short double-helical elements and three loops (D, anti-codon, and T loops). Further hydrogen bonds mediate the characteristic L-shaped molecular structure. tRNAs have two regions of fundamental functional importance: the anti-codon, which is responsible for specific mRNA codon recognition, and the 3' end, to which the tRNAs corresponding amino acid is attached (by aminoacyl-tRNA synthetases). tRNAs cope with the degeneracy of the genetic code in two manners: having more than one tRNA (with a specific anti-codon) for a particular amino acid; and 'wobble' base-pairing, i.e. permitting non-standard base-pairing at the 3rd anti-codon position. The record is from Rfam by way of RNAcentral. Lineage: Eukaryota; Metazoa; Chordata; Mammalia; Rodentia; Muridae.
GUAUGGAUAGCUCAGUUGAUAGAGCAUCAGAUUUUUAAUCUGAGGGUCCAAGGUUCAAGUCUUUGUUCAGAAG